GAUGAACGCUGGCGGCGUGCCUAAUACAUGCAAGUCGAGCGAACAGACGAGGAGCUUGCUCCUCUGACGUUAGCGGCGGACGGGUGAGUAACACGUGGAUAACCUACCUAUAAGACUGGGAUAACUUCGGGAAACCGGAGCUAAUACCGGAUAAUAUAUUGAACCGCAUGGUUCAAUAGUGAAAGACGGUUUUGCUGUCACUUAUAGAUGGAUCCGCGCCGCAUUUGCUAGUUGGUAAGGUAACGGCUUACCAAGGCAACGAUGCGUAGCCGACCUGAGAGGGUGAUCGGCCACACUGGAACUGAGACACGGUCCAGACUCCUACGGGAGGCAGCAGUAGGGAAUCUUCCGCAAAGGGCGAAAGCCUGACGGAGCAACGCCGCGUGAGUGAUGAAGGUCUUCGGAUCGUAAAACUCUGUUAUUAGGGAAGAACAAAUGUGUAAGUAACUAUGCACGUCUUGACGGUACCUAAUCAGAAAGCCACGGCUAACUACGUG
This 497-nucleotide ribosomal RNA is filed under the name uncultured bacterium. Its description in RNAcentral is "partial 16S ribosomal RNA". It matches the Rfam family "Bacterial small subunit ribosomal RNA", at positions 28 to 507 of the family's 1533-position model. The record is from RNAcentral.